Molecule: ribosomal RNA, 353 nt
Filed under: uncultured bacterium
Lineage: Bacteria
Description: partial 16S ribosomal RNA
Rfam family: Bacterial small subunit ribosomal RNA
Source: RNAcentral
CCUACGGGAGGCAGCAGUGGGGAAUAUUGGGCAAUGGGGGCAAGCCUGAAGCAGCAACGCCGCGUGAAGGAAGAAGGUUUUAGGAUUGUAAACUCCUUUUGUGAGAGACGAUUAUGGCGGUGUCUAACGAGUAAUAAGCGGCUAACACCGUGCCAGCAGCCGCGGUAAUACGGAGGGUGCAAGAGUUACUCGGAAUAACUGGGUGGAAAGAGGGCGUAGGCGGGGUAAUAAGUCAGAUGUGAAAUCCUGUCGCUGAACGACAGAACUGCAUUUGAAACUGUUACUCUUGAGUGUGGGAGAGGUAGGUGGAAUUCUGGGUGUAGGGGUAAAAUCCGUAGAGAUCAAGAGGAAUA